UCCAGACUCCUACGGGAGGCAGCAGUGAGGAAUAUUGGUCAAUGGGCGGGAGCCUGAACCAGCCAAGCCGCGUGAAGGAAGAAGGCGCCAGGCGUCGUAAACUUCUUUUGUCGGGGAACAAAGGGCGCCACGCGUGGCGUUGUGAGUGUACCCGAAGAAAAAGCAUCGGCUAACUCCGUGCCAGCAGCCGCGGUAAUACGGAGGAUGCGAGCGUUAUCCGGAUUUAUUGGGUUUAAAGGGUGCGUAGGCGGUGGGGAAGGUAGGGGGAAAAGCCCGGGGGCCAACCCCGGGCGGGCCGUUGAAACUGUCGGACUAGAGACGGCGAGAAGUACGCGGAAUGCGCGGUGUAGCGGUGAAAUGCAUAGAUAUCGCGCAGAACUCCGAUUGCGAAGGCAGCGUACCGGCGCCGGACUGACGCUGAGGCACGAAAGCGUGGGUAACGAGCAGGAUUAGAUACCCCCGUA
RNAcentral lists this ribosomal RNA (464 nucleotides) under uncultured bacterium. RNAcentral describes it as "bacterial SSU rRNA". It matches the Rfam family "Bacterial small subunit ribosomal RNA", at positions 330 to 792 of the family's 1533-position model. The record is from RNAcentral.